AUGGUUCAGACUGAUAGACACAUGGUCUUUCCUUUGGUAUAUCGUCUUAUUGAGUUGAUAUUGAUUUUGCCUGUUGCAACCGCAUCAGUGGAAUGAGCUUUCUCAGCUAUGAGUAUUAUCAAGACUAAGUUGAGAAAUAAGAUUGGUGAUGAUUGGUUGAACUAUUCCAUGGUGUGCAAUAUUGAGAGAAAAAUAUUUGCAAAGGUUGAUGAUGAUGCUAUUAUAUACCGCUUUCAAUCCUAUAGAUCUCGCAAAGGAACUUUACCUCGUCGUGGUAGUAAGUUUUCAACUUUGUACAAUGUUAAUUGUUUCACUUGA
Molecule: ribosomal RNA, 318 nt
Filed under: Triticum aestivum (bread wheat)
Lineage: Eukaryota; Viridiplantae; Streptophyta; Magnoliopsida; Poales; Poaceae
Description: partial small subunit ribosomal RNA
Source: RNAcentral